Molecule: ribosomal RNA, 480 nt
Filed under: uncultured bacterium
Lineage: Bacteria
Description: partial 16S ribosomal RNA
Rfam family: Bacterial small subunit ribosomal RNA
Source: RNAcentral
AUGAACGCUGGCGGCGUGCUUAACACAUGCAAGUCGAACGAAGCACUUUAUUUGAUUUCCUUCGGGACUGAUUAUUUUGUGGCUGAGUGGCGGACGGGUGAGUAACGCGUGGGUAACCUGCCUUGUACAGGGGGAUAACAGUUGGAAACGGCUGCUAAUACCGCAUAAGCGCACAGCAUCGCAUGAUGCAGUGUGAAAAACUCCGGUGGUAUAAGAUGGACCCGCGUUGGAUUAGCUAGUUGGUGAGGUAACGGCCCACCAAGGCGACGAUCCAUAGCCGACCUGAGAGGGUGACCGGCCACAUUGGGACUGAGACACGGCCCAAACUCCUACGGGAAGCAGCAGUGGGGAAUAUUGCACAAUGGGCGAAAGCCUGACGCAGCGACGCCGCGUGAGCGAAGAAGUAUUUCGGUAUGUAAAGCUCUAUCAGCAGGGAAGAUAAUGACGGUACCUGACUAAGAAGCACCGGCUAAAUACGUG